RNAcentral lists this unclassified non-coding RNA (502 nucleotides) under Hevea brasiliensis (rubber tree). The record is from RNAcentral. Lineage: Eukaryota; Viridiplantae; Streptophyta; Magnoliopsida; Malpighiales; Euphorbiaceae.
AACCCACUUUGUCUUCCAAAGUAGUUUAUGAUAGGCAUGGACGCAGUCCAGGUUUUUCUGAGCGGUCCCCACGUGACCGAGUCAGGUACUAUGAUCACAGGGAUCGGAGUCCAGUGCGACGCGAAAGAUCUCCGUAUGCUCGAGAAAGAUCCCCUUGUCGCCGUGAGAGAUCCCCUUAUGGACGUGAGAAAUCCCCGUAUGGACGUGAGAGGUCUCCAUAUGGACGUGAUAAAUCCCCAUAUGAUAGGAGCCGUCAUCAUGAUUAUAGGAGAAGCCCUACUCAUUCAGAGAGGUCCUCACAGGACCGGUUUCAUGAUCGCAGGGAUCGGACCCCAAACUUUCUGGAGCGUUCCCCACUUGAUCGGAAUAGAUCCAGUAAUUACAGGGAAGCAAUCCGUAAAGGUGGGUCAAGUGAGAAGCGGAACUCUCAGUUUGGUAAUAAAGGUCAUGAUGAUAAGCUCAGCCAGAAGGACUCUGGGGGAAGAGAUUCACAAUUCUUGGC